Molecule: long non-coding RNA, 576 nt
Organism: Suricata suricatta (meerkat)
Lineage: Eukaryota; Metazoa; Chordata; Mammalia; Carnivora; Herpestidae
Exons: 3
Source: RefSeq, a predicted model, not a curated record
CCCGCCCCGAUUGCCCAGGGAUCGAACCAUCUCUGGGGAUAACCAAUCUGUGCAAAUCCUUAUCCUUUUCCUCUUUGCGUUGUGGGGGGUGCUAGCCAUUCAUUUUAAUAGAUGGUUUAUUGCGAGGCGAGUUCAAAUCAACCUGCGCGCGUUUCCAUGUUCUUUCUGGGAUGUCAGAGUCUUUUUUCCAGGCAAGAACAGGUUCACGAGACCUUUCCUAUAGCGAGUCACGCUCCUUCGCUUUGUUGUUUUGGGCAAGAAAAAACGGGAUGUGAAGAGCAGGGAAAGAACUUGGUAACAUCAGCAAGAGUUAGAACAUUCAUGAAUCCCUUGAAAAGGUGUAUUUAAUGUCUAAAAGACCGCCAUCGCUUUCUAAUCCUAUUUUUAGGAGGAAAAGAGAAUCCCAAGCAGCUAGUAAUGGGAGCUUUGAAGAUGGACACAGCUAAACCCAAAGUAAUGGCUUUAUGAAGAAGAGAUCAGAGGGGGCCAGUGGUGCAAUGGAUAACGCAUCUGACUACGGAUCAGAAGAUUCUAUGAAGAAGAGAUCAUAUAAUGUUCAAGGCCUGGCACUUCAGG